RNA transcript from Dromaius novaehollandiae (emu), 2045 nucleotides. RefSeq lists it as uncharacterized. NCBI's taxonomy places the organism in Eukaryota, Metazoa, Chordata, Aves, Casuariiformes, Dromaiidae. The record is from RefSeq and is a predicted model, not a curated record. The transcript is spliced from 4 exons.
UGGCUGAAGGAGGGCCUGUUUCUUAGAGCACAAUGUGAUAUUUAAGCCUGCCUCCAUGCAUCAGUUCAACCUACUCUUCCUCUAAUGCGACGGUUCUGGAAAAUUUGAAGUUGGUCUAGCUGCUCCUUCAGUACCUCAGACUCUCGUUUCCACUGAAGUUGACGGGAGGGAAGAAAUGCAGAGCUAAUGGGAUGUGUGCAUGCCUGGUUCAGCCUUGCCGAGACCAGAAGAGUUAACGGGAGGACGUGGUUUGGCCCCCUGAGUCGGAGCGUGACACAACGCAGCCAUCGAUUUUGCGAGCCUGCCAGGAAGGUCUGGCUGAUGCCUGUUUCCUGCACCUACAUACCUCUUCAGUGGCAGCUCUUUAGUACGUCCCUGUGCGCCCUUAGCAUCCAAUCGGUAUGAAAAUGCGUUACGUAAUGCUGUUUCCUCUUCAGCUUGUCAGCCCUAAUGGGAAGCACGCGAUGAACUUUGCAGAUGUGGGCAAGGAGAGAGCCAGGAGCCGGUGCUGGGAGUGGGCUCACAGCAGCAGAGCAAAGCCGAGCGAGGAGUGAAGUACGGCUUGCAAGAGCCUCUCGUAAGGUACUCAGAGCAUGUUUAUUGGGAAACAAAUGUAGUUUCUCUAAGACACACAAAAAAAUUACAGCAGAACGUAACAGAACUCCUCAGGUAAUACUUUCUUCAGCGUUCGCCAGAUGCUGCCUUGACAGUAAAGCACUCGGGCUGGAUGGUGCCUCAAGACCCAGCCCUGAGUGCAGGUUUGCGUGUGACCUCCACAGGUCCGUGAUUAGCUCCUGGGAUGGGAGAGGAUUUUACUGAAUCAGGAUACUGAUUGAGUAUCCCCUCAUACCCCACAGCAGUGAAAAUUUGUCUUCUGCCUUCAUGAGAAGGGGCACAACAACACCCCCGCACACAGCUUAGCUGCAUUAGAGGCUGCCUAAAAAGUUCACCUUCACCUGCCUAAAAAGUUCAGCUCUGGGCUGAGCCUUUCCCCACGAGUCUCUCCUGUCUCAGGGCUGAGGAGGAAGGUACAUGUUUCCAUCACCUAGGAGCCGCCUGGAGGCUCAGAAACACGUGGCAACUGCCAUCCUCUCCCUGUACGGCUCCACAGUCCAAGUCACUGUCUAGCCCAAGGCAUGUACAAAAAGAUAUACAUAUAUAUAUAUAUAUAUAUAUAUAUAUACACAUAUCAGUGCCCUGCUGGUUCCCACAGCCUAUUUUCAUAUGGUGAAGGUGUGCUGUAGAUAGCGGUCCCUAGCAAGCAGGCUGAAAGCAUGCGGAUCUGCACUUUGAAGCAGUCUCAGCUGCGAGUGAUUACGGAGCAGCAGGAAAACGCUGGAUGGCACAGCUUUUCCGACAGCGUGAAAGCCUGCGGGAGAACCUGCCUCAGCCCUGCGACAGCGAUAAGCGGCGCUCCCCGGUGCUCGUCUCCUCUGCCAGCCUACCCGUUUCUGAAGGCACUACUGAACCCGUAGUGAGCCAAAGAGCUCGAAUGAAGUAAUGUUAUUUAGGAAGCCCUCUUGUAUGUCCUCCUGAUGUUUCUCCCUCAAGGGAUCACAACACACUGGGGUCUUAUUCAGUGUCGGUUUUGAACGGCAAGCCCUCUCGUCCCCCUUCUGCUCCCCCUCCACACACUGUCUCCUCCCUGCUUUCCAGACAAGGGGAGCUAAGGGAGGGUUCUGUGGCCAGGCAGCCGGGUAACUGGUUUCUUUUCCUGGGUCAUUUCCAUUCUCAGCAUAUCCAAUAUACAAAACAACAGAUGCGCCCUAGAGUCUUGAGUAAAGUGAAUGACGAAAAGAAAUAGUUGUUGAUGGAGGCCUCCCUCCGCUUCUCUGCACCUCUCGGAUCUGGGCCUCCAGAGAAGGGCUGGCUUCACAUGUUGGGAAAGCUGCUCCAGCAGGAUUUGAAUAAAUACUGUGCUUUGAACCACGAAAAGACAACUGCAAAGGGAAUGCCUCAUAUUGCAGCCUCUUACAGCAAACCCUCUUGUUCCUCUAUACUUUGAUCAUAGUUAUAAAUGUAUAAUAAAUUGUUCCUUCAUCACA